Molecule: non-coding RNA, 30 nt
Filed under: Rattus norvegicus (Norway rat)
Lineage: Eukaryota; Metazoa; Chordata; Mammalia; Rodentia; Muridae
Source: RNAcentral
UGGCAAACUUUUAGAUGCUGAGGUAGCUGC